This 394-nucleotide ribosomal RNA is filed under the name Ligilactobacillus salivarius. RNAcentral describes it as "bacterial LSU rRNA". It matches the Rfam family "Bacterial large subunit ribosomal RNA", at positions 2128 to 2521 of the family's 2925-position model. The record is from RNAcentral. Lineage: Bacteria; Bacillati; Bacillota; Bacilli; Lactobacillales; Lactobacillaceae.
UACAACUUGUACAGGAUAGGUAGGAGCCGUAGAAGUCGGAACGCUAGUUUCGAUGGAGGCAUUGGUGGGAUACUACCCUCGUUGUAUGAACACUCUAACCCUCGCCGGCAAUCACGGCGGGGGACAGUGUCAGGGGGGCAGUUUGACUGGGGCGGUCGCCUCCUAAAAGGGAACGGAGGCGCCCAAAGGUUCCUUCAGAAUGGUUGGAAAUCAUUCGCAGAGGGUAAAGGCAUAAAGGAGCUUGACUGCGAGACCUACAAGUCGAGCAGGGACGAAAGUCGGGCUUAGUGAUCCGGGGGUUCCGUAUGGAAGGGCCAUCGCUCAACGGAUAAAAGCUACCCUGGGGAUAACAGGCUUAUCUCCCCCAAGAGUUCACAUCGACGGGGAGGUUUGG